Molecule: ribosomal RNA, 672 nt
Filed under: uncultured fungus
Lineage: Eukaryota; Fungi
Description: eukaryotic LSU rRNA
Rfam family: Eukaryotic large subunit ribosomal RNA
Source: RNAcentral
CCCGCUGAACUUAAGCAUAUCAAUAAGCGGAGGAAAAGAAACUAACAAGGAUUCCCCUAGUAACUGCGAGUGAAGCGGGAAAAGCUCAAAUUUAAAAUCUGGCGGUCCUCUGGCUGUCCGAGUUGUAAUCUGGAGAAGCGUUUUCCGCGUCGGACCGUGUACAAGUCUUCUGGAACGGAGCGUCAUAGAGGGUGAGAAUCCCGUCUCUGACACGGACCGCCGACGCUUCAUGUGAUACGCUCUCGAAGAGCCGAGUUGUUUGGGAAUGCAGCUCAAAAUGGGUGGUAAAUUCCAUCUAAAGCUAAAUACUGGCGAGAGACCGAUAGCGAACAAGUACCGUGAGGGAAAGAUGAAAAGCACUUUGGAAAGAGAGUUAAACAAUACGUGAAAUUGUUGAAAGGGAAACGUUUGAAGUCAGUCGCGUCGGCCGGGACUCAGCCUUGCUAUCUUGCUUGGUGCACUUCUCGGUCGACGGGUCAGCAUCAAUUUUGACCGUCGGAUAAAGGCCGAGGGAACGUGGCAUCCUCCGGGGUGUGUUAUAGCCCUUGGUUCGCAUACGGCGAUCGGGAUUGAGGAACUCAGUGCGCCUUCAUUGGUCGGGGCUUCGCGGCUCACGUUAACGCGCUUAGGAUGCUGGCAUAAUGGCUUUAUGCGACCCGUCUUGAAACACGG